GACCAAAGCGCUUCUGAUAUUUCGCAGAGAGUUCCAGGACGUCACUAAGAAAACCGAAAUAUGAAACUGUCGACCCAAAGUGAAUGACACCAGUCUGAAUCCAUUCAACAGCCAAAACAUCUGUAGCCGUGAGUCCCCCCUUCACAAUAGCCAUAGCAGCAGAAAUCGGAUCUUUAACACCCAGAACCGUCCAAACAAGGGAGUUGUCGGAACCAGCAGGAAUGAUGCCAAUUGGAAUUGAUAUAGCUUCUUUCUGAUUUUCUCUACUGAGCAGACCAUUGAGAACCUCGUUUACAAUUCCAUCUCCGCCAACACAUAUAAUUCCAUCCGG
RNAcentral lists this unclassified non-coding RNA (331 nucleotides) under Hevea brasiliensis (rubber tree). The record is from RNAcentral. Lineage: Eukaryota; Viridiplantae; Streptophyta; Magnoliopsida; Malpighiales; Euphorbiaceae.